Long non-coding RNA from Tupaia belangeri chinensis (Chinese tree shrew), 6183 nucleotides. RefSeq lists it as uncharacterized. The transcript is spliced from 2 exons. The record is from RefSeq and is a predicted model, not a curated record. Lineage: Eukaryota; Metazoa; Chordata; Mammalia; Scandentia; Tupaiidae.
CUGUGUUGUCCGGUGGAGGCCGUCUGUACUGUCUGGUGGAGGCCGUCACCGUGCCCUUGCUUACACUCCUUUGCUUAUGUUUUGCCAUUUUGCUGUCUAAAGUGAAUGUAUUGGCUUUGCCAAAUCACUACAGAAGGUGGUUUCUAAAUACCUUUUAGUUAAAAAAAAGAAAAAAAGAAAAAAAGUUGCAAAUAAAGGCUACCUCUGAAUUCUCUAGGAUAGAUUCAUGUUUGCUCUUACUUGUAGCUGUCCACACUGAAAAUAGCCAAACUGUUGCCUGAGUUGUGAAACGAAUUGUGAGCAUCUGUCUGCCCGGUUGUGGCUUGGCAGUGGCACGUGCGUGCCAUCCUGUGAGCCCUGACGCCCCUCCUGGGCCACCUGGACCAGCUCCUGGUGCCACCCGGCUCCAAACUUCUCGGACUUUGAGAGGCCAGCAUGAGCAGUGCAGAGGGCUCAUCUACACGGGACCUCAUGCCGCCCUGCCAGGCCGGCAGAAGCAUCUCUGCAGGGCUGCGUGGGUGGCUUCUCCCUCCUCUGUUGAACCCAAGAAAGCACUUUUAUUUUUCUCCGCUUUACUUACGAAUGAGCUGCAAACGGCUUGCCCUGCUCCCUCCCUCCUCGUACACUCUGUAAAAUCACAAAGGUGCUGACACACCAGCGCUUGUGCAGAUAGGACAGUUAAGAGAGCUGCGUGGCCUCCAGAGAGUGGUCCAGGCGGAGCUGGCCUUCGGCUUUGGGAUCUGGAGUUCCUGUCGCUCCCUCCUUGAAAGUGAAACUUCCUGCUCCCAUCCCUGGCCCUUUGUUACCUUAGACCUUGGGUUCCCAGCGGGCUUCCUGCAGUGUGAGUCCCUGCCCACAGCACUGCAGGGUCCCCUUGCAGGCAUCUGUCCUGAGAGAGCUGACAGUUGACGCACGCCUGCAUCUGCCCUCUGUAAUGUCCCUUCCCCGGCUGCCGGCACUUUUCUGCGCGUUCUCCAUGUUUCCGGUCUUCAGCAGGUCAGUGCUCACUCCAGACCGCCCUCAGUUGCUUGGGGAUUCUGGAAGGGCAAGCAGGUGGCUUCAGGGGCACAGGUGCCUGGGUCUGGGGUGGCUCUGUCCUGCCAGAUGCUCUGCAGACGCUGGUUCACCCCGCAGGGUGUCUGUGCCGUUGCUGGGGGAGCUGUUGCCUUAUGCACUGUCAUCAGGGGGUUUGAUGCUUUUUCUGCUACACGGCAUGCUUUAAUUCUGAAAGAGCUAAGUGUCCUUCACGGUCUUGUGCGAACGUUUGAAACCCGCCCUCACACUGUCUCGUGUGUGUAGGCCACCCCGGGAACACGGGCGUUUUGGUGGGGGCCUGCCCCCGCUGGCCUGCUCUGCUGGCUUCUCAGGUACCCUGGGUUGGCCAGAGUCUGGCCUAGGGUGUUAGAGAGAACACUGCAUAGCAGCCACACCGUGGCCCAGUCCUGUGAACUGCUCCCGGCGUUUCGCAUGCGCACCUCCAAAAUGCUGAGGUGGGACUUGCCAUCAUCCCGCUGCCUUUGCAUUUGUGAAAGAUUAUUUUAAAAUGAGAGAGCUGAUUUCUGGUGCUUCUGUGAACACUUUCCUGUUUUUGGUUGAUUUGAAAAUUGUACGUGUUAGGUCUUCAGCUGCCGUUGGCGGUGCGACUGAAGAAAGGCCAGGUCCUCACCUUAUCCCCACCCCCUUUUGGGGGAAUGGGAAGAGGCUGAAUUAUCUCCAGUUCAAACCUCCUUGGAUUUACGUAGUUCAGAGUUAAAGCUAAAACGCCAAAUAGUAACUCUUCCCCCAGAGUCUGCAGGAGCUAGGUGCCCAGGUCCCCGCUCAGCUCUUCCUGCAUCUGCAGCAUCCUCGGAUUGAGUGCAUUGACCCCAAGAACACCGCAGGCCAGGGGGCACGAUGCGGAGCCUGCGAGUCAAGGGCUGGCCUCAGACUGUGGACAGGAGGGCGGGCCCCUCCGGCCUGGGAGCAGGAGCCGCCUGGGCCUUCGAUGGUCCUGAGCUUGUGUGCAAGACCCAGCCUCAGACUCUGUGCCUUUAAAUCUGGUCCCCAGUGUCCUUUCAGAACCCUGUUGGGGCUGCGUUUUGAUUGGGCAGCGAGCGUUCAUUCUGCAUGCCAGUCACCCCUGCCCGGGAAGCUGCCCUCCUGCCCUUCUCCUCCUGGCUCUGUUCACCACGACCACGCUCACCCUCACGCCCAGGGAUGACCCCUUGGUGGGAUUUUGGGAGGUCGACCAAGAACCAUUUCUUAGUCGGGCUUUAACUGUGGCCAUCAGCAGAACCCAGCAGGUGCGUUCUCAAGGUUGCUCACCAAGAGCCCUCACUGUGGUGGACGUGGGGUCCUCAGCUGUGCGGUGCUACUCAGCCCCGCUGCCCUCACUUCAGAUGCUAUUCAUUGUCGUCGCCAUGUUCUGUGACUUGCGGGGAAAGCGUGGACUUGAGUGUGGAGUCCCGCAAGCCACGCACCCGCACCCCCGGCCGGCAGCCCCAGCCUGCAGGCCUGUCUCUCCCUUUUUCCAAGCCGGCUGCUGAGUGGCCCCUGGCUGAUGUCUGAGAUGAGACUCGAGAGACUCGAGACUCACUCGUACUGGUUUUAAGUGGGGAAAUGCCCAGUGUAUUUAUUUUUUAAUGUAUAGAAAAUCCCUCUGGGUGGUUGCCCUGGGCCCCGCCCUGUCCUGAAACCCUCUCUGCUGAAAGGCAGCAGCCCUGUCCCCAGCAGUGGCCAGGUGCUGGCUCCAGAGGCGCUACCUGUCCCUGGGGGUUGGGGGGGAGACACGGUGAUGUCUUGGCUGCCCUUCCACGCCAGGUGGCCACAACUCAAAUCCUGCAGCCUGGGGUUGAGCACCGCGCUGCACCGAGCCCUGGGUUGGAUAGUGAGUGUUAAUGUGGUCACCGCAGGUGGGUAAUGUUUUAUAGCUAGAGGCAAGUGAGCUUUUAUUUUUUAAGAAGUUUUAAGAGAAUAAUUGUACGUUUCUGUGCAGCAAAGUGGCUGAUGACUCAUGAAAUGCAAGAAGAGAAUGUAGUAAUCCAGAUUUUUCUGACCUCUGGUACAUUUCAGAUUAUUUACCUAAUAUGUAUUGAGGGGUUUUAACCCUUAGUUUUAUCAAUUUUUCUAGUUUUAUUUUAUUUUUAUAAAAUAAUUGAAAAAGAACCAAAAAUGAAAUCAGAAGUUCCAUAGGUGGGUCCCGCCCCUCCCAAUGUGCCCCCACAAUAAGACAUUGUAGAGGACAUUUUGAAUCAAAAUGUAUUAUGACCAUUUAGAGUUUACUGUUUUCUAACAGUCGAGCAGCUACGAGGGCCUCGCUCCAGGUGGUGCUCUGCACCGUCUGGGCGCGUCUACACCUGUGCAGCGGGUUUGUGACCGUGUCUUGUGCUCGUGGUGUAGGAACCAAGCAGUGCUGUUUGUACACUGACCACUCCUGUGUAAACUGUGGUUAUAUGCGGUGGCCUCUCUGUAUAAUGUCUCGUUUGCUAUGUGGAUUGUAAAAUGGAUGAUCCAAUUAUAGUACCUGCUAACCACAGCUCUGAGGCUCUAUGUCGUUGUCUUUAGUUCCGUCCCACGGUCUGUGUGUCUCGAGGAUGUCAGACGCUCGCAUGACGCUCGGUGGUGAUGCCACUUUAACUUAAGCCUUAAUCAGAUGUUAAAUUCGUAAGUUUCAGAGUAUGCAAAAACGUCAGGCAGAGUGAGCUUAAACUGUCCCCAUCAAGACCCUAGAUCAGAACUCGGCAUGUCUUUUCUCUGGAGUCGGAAUGGGGCGCAUUCAGUGGUACCCCCCUUCAGUCUCUGCGGCCUGGUCUGGCUGUUACCAUCGCUUGAGGUAUGGACCAGUGUGCGUUUCUGCGGCAGUUGGUUAAGAGACCUGUUCUGAAAGUCAAGGCUUUUUCAGGGUUAUUUUCUAAAUGUUUGCUUUUCUCUUCCCUCCAGUCUGAGGUUUCUUUAUGGGUAAUAGAGAGUGAAAUUUGGACAUAGGCCUCAUUCGCAAACCUGCUCAAGUUCUAGGCUUUCUUCAGGUAGUGCCACCUGUCACCACUUCUGCAUAUGAUUCAAAUGGAUUUUUGUUCUUGUAAAAGCAUCUUCAAUUUAGAGUGAAAAUGGAGGGGACCCAGCUUUCUUUACAAUGUGGAUCUACCUCAGUUAAACAGUUGGGUGCUAUUUACUAAGUCUGUCAAAUUAAAUUGGAAAAAGUAACCAAACUGAGCUACAACUCCAUGUGAAACUUGAAAUAAUCAUUUGUUUAUUUAGUAUUUUUAUUUAUUUUGUGCCUUUUAUGUUAAACUCUAAUGCAUUAAAAAAAUGCGUAUGAAUUAAGUUUUAGAUUACAGGUGGGGAGAAAAGCCCAACUGGCCGUGGAAUCUGACGUACCCCCCUGCCAAGUGCUAUGGUGUAUUAGGAUCCCUACUGCCUUCUUGUGAGAAGAAAACAAAUCUAAUGUCCAGGAGCAAACUUCCCCUUUUACAGACGAUAAGUUCCAGACUCUUCUAUGCAGAUAUUUGUAGCUGUCACUUCGUUUUCUGUGCCAAUGAAGGGGUGGUCAAAAACAAAACAAAACACACAUCAAGUUCUCCUAUCAUUGCUUUUCACUCACUCAUGCCCCUCUUCCACUGGCAUAUUUUCUAAGAGUUUAUUUCAUAAGCAGCAGCUGGAAUGUUGUCGAUUCCAUCUCUCUGGACUGACCUACCUGGUAGAGGUGCUAGUGACUGUGGACAGGGAAGGGGGCGAGCUGUACUCACGGCAGCUGGCGGCCUCAGAGCUCGGAGAGCUUCCCGAUAGGUAAGGGUAGGAGACCGAUGGCUUUCUGUGCUUUUCUAUUUGGAGGUUUACACUUCUAGACUUUUCCUACUAUGGUGAUCUUUUUUUACUUCACUCUUUGGAGGCAACACAAUAUUUUGGAGUCUGAAGAAUUUGAUUUUAUACCAAUAAUAAACAAUUAGGGAUCUCUCCUGUAGUAUAUAGUUUUACUAUUUUACAGAGAUCUCUGAAUUUUACAAGAGACCAAUAUUCCUUAGUGGCAAAAUUUCACAAAUUGAUUUGGAAGACUUUUUUUUUUUUUUUUUGGCUGCAGGAUCUCAAAAAAUUUAAAAUGAUUCUACUUAAAUGUUUUUAAUUUUUUGACUUCCAUCAGGUUACUACUUAAGCUAUAUUUUAUAAAGAGUAAAUCAUCCUCUAGUAUGCUGCGUAUAAAGUUGGCGUUGUUGCACUUUCUCCGUGAUAAUAAAUGCCCUGCGAUUGGCCCAGCAGUGUUUUGUUUUUAACCUAACAAGAGUACUUUGGGGCAGGUGAUUAAAUUUAUAUAGGUACCUCAAGAAAAAGAACCUGAAUAUGCUGCAUUUUGUUUCUUUAGCUUUUACAUGUAGCAUUUUAUUUUGCUUUUAUUGUUUUGUUUCGAUAUAUGCUUUUUGGACCCCAAUAGAUUGUGGAAAGAAUUGAAGUUACUCAUGUGGAGAUACAGUAUCCUUUUCUUUUUAAAUUUACUGCAAUGUCUGCUUCAAAGAUUGCCCACUUCAGAGUAACACUUUACCCAAGCCCACCAGGAGGAAAAGGAUACUAUGUUUAUAAGCAGACAGGAAUGUUCAGGAUCCUUUCUGUUCAUGCUGCUUUCUCCAUUCCUUUCUCCAUGUCACCAAGAGGUCGCAGAAACUGCUUCUUAGCUCAAAGCUGUCAAUGUGGCAUCUGAGUAUUUUCCCAAAUCGCCGUUGAGUAAGUAGCAUGAUCCUAAAGGUAUUGCUGACAUUGGCAGCCCAGCCAACCCGGUCUCCAAAGACCCAGCAGCCUUCACGUUUCCUCACCCUCAGCGCUCACCCCCAAAUGAGCAGACAGGGCGUGGUUUGAUGGACAAGAAAGCUAACAGCAAGACACUGAGCAGCUAUCGUCGUGUUUAAGCUUAGCCGGGUCCUUUAAAGUUUGUUUUUACAGCUUUCUAGGUUAAGUAGUUUGCACUAUUUUUGCAAUAAACCCAUGGAAACCUAACAGUUCCUCCUUUGUUCCUUACUGUGUGUAUAUAAACUAAUACUGAGAGUCUGGCCUAGUGUUUUCUCACCCCUUUACAUAACCCCUAACAUGCACAGAAUGCUGUAAAUCUGAUGACAUAUGAUGUGAAUGAUAUUUUAUAAAGUUAUUUUGUAUGGUGUCAAUUUUGUUUUGCCUCAUAGUAUGUCAGCAAAAAAAAUAAAAUAAAAUUCCUCCUAUUUA